UACGGGGGGGGCAAGCGUUGUUCGGAAUUAUUGGGCGUAAAGGGCGCGUAGGCGGCUUGAUAAGUCAAAGGUGAAAUCCCUCGGCUCAACUGAGGAACUGCCUUUGAAACUGUCUGGCUUGAGGCCGGGAGGGGGUAGCGGAAUUCCCAGUGUAGCGGUGAAAUGCGUAGAUACUGGGAGGAACACCGGUGGCGAAGGCGGCUACCUGGACCGGUUCUGACGCUGAUGCGCGAAAGCGUGGGUAGCAAACAGG
RNAcentral lists this ribosomal RNA (253 nucleotides) under uncultured bacterium. RNAcentral's name for it is "partial 16S ribosomal RNA". It matches the Rfam family "Bacterial small subunit ribosomal RNA", at positions 524 to 776 of the family's 1533-position model. The record is from RNAcentral.